GUGAGUGUAGCUUAGUUGGCUAAAGACCAGAUUGUGGCUCUGGAGAUCGUGGGUUCAAGUCCCAUCACCCACCCCA
Molecule: transfer RNA, 76 nt
Filed under: Clostridia bacterium
Lineage: Bacteria; Bacillati; Bacillota; Clostridia
Description: tRNA-His
Rfam family: tRNA
About the family: Transfer RNA (tRNA) molecules are approximately 80 nucleotides in length. Their secondary structure includes four short double-helical elements and three loops (D, anti-codon, and T loops). Further hydrogen bonds mediate the characteristic L-shaped molecular structure. tRNAs have two regions of fundamental functional importance: the anti-codon, which is responsible for specific mRNA codon recognition, and the 3' end, to which the tRNAs corresponding amino acid is attached (by aminoacyl-tRNA synthetases). tRNAs cope with the degeneracy of the genetic code in two manners: having more than one tRNA (with a specific anti-codon) for a particular amino acid; and 'wobble' base-pairing, i.e. permitting non-standard base-pairing at the 3rd anti-codon position.
Source: RNAcentral